This 119-nucleotide ribosomal RNA is filed under the name Sphenodon punctatus (tuatara). Lineage: Eukaryota; Metazoa; Chordata; Lepidosauria; Sphenodontia; Sphenodontidae. The record is from RNAcentral.
GCCUAUGGCCACACCGGACUGAACGCAUCCGAUCCUGUCCGAUCUCGGAAGCUAAGCGGUCCUGGUCCCAACUAGUACCUGGAUGGGAGACCGCCUGGUAAUCCCGGAUGCUGUAGGCU